This 48-nucleotide ribosomal RNA is filed under the name Russula cf. integra BPL288. Its description in RNAcentral is "partial 25S large subunit ribosomal RNA". The record is from RNAcentral. Lineage: Eukaryota; Fungi; Basidiomycota; Agaricomycetes; Russulales; Russulaceae.
CCUUGACCUCAAAUCGGGUGAGACUACCCGCUGAACUUAAGCAUAUAU